This is a non-coding RNA of Phrynosoma platyrhinos (Desert horned lizard), 70 nucleotides long. NCBI's taxonomy places the organism in Eukaryota, Metazoa, Chordata, Lepidosauria, Squamata, Phrynosomatidae. The record is from the annotation of a GenBank genome assembly.
GCCAGCGUGGCAUAGUUGUUCGAGUGUUGGACUGUGACUGAAGAUUCAGGGUUCAAAUCCCAGCUUGGCC